GAUUUCCUUCCUCACUUCCCACCUGCGGGCAUUGAGGCUGUUCACAGAAUUCGUCAGGGUGGAGAGGGAUCUCUGGAGAUCCCCCAGUCCAAACCCCUCUCCUGGCAGGGUCACCCACAGCAGGUAACACAGGAGCGAGUCCAGCUGGGUGCGGAACGCCUCCGGAAAGGCACGGAAGAAGAGACCGGCCCCCACUCGCCUCACUACAACCUGCGGUCAUGGAGCAGAAUUAUUCUCCAGAAACACCUAUUCACAAUCCUGUUAUGUCAGGAGCCUGGCGGAUGUCCUCAGAGGGUCACUUAUUCCCACACUUUACACCAAAAUUUAUGGGGUAUGCCCAUAAUUGGGAACUGAAACCCACCCCCUCCUCCCAAGCCUUGAUGCGAUCUACGUGCUCCUAGGUCAUCCCACUCCUGGAUAUCAUCGGGCUUUGCAGAAUGAGCACCUUGCUGUGAAAAGCAAGGUCCCUUCUGCCUGCCUGCAUGUGUGGUGCUUUCCUGCUAAAUGGAGAUUGUAUGAGUGGUGUGGGAAAUGCAGCUAUAAAUACAGAUUCUUGGAUAACCUUCAAUUCAUCGCUCGAUGCAUCUUCAACUUUGCUUUUCAGGGUCAGCUUCCAGUACUGGCCAUGCACCCACCCCUUAGCUGGAGAAUAAAAGAAGCUUGGUUAG
This is a non-coding RNA of Taeniopygia guttata (zebra finch), 668 nucleotides long. Lineage: Eukaryota; Metazoa; Chordata; Aves; Passeriformes; Estrildidae. The record is from RefSeq and is a predicted model, not a curated record.